Molecule: ribosomal RNA, 199 nt
Filed under: uncultured bacterium
Lineage: Bacteria
Description: partial 16S ribosomal RNA
Rfam family: Bacterial small subunit ribosomal RNA
Source: RNAcentral
ACGCUCGACACCUACGAGAGGCAGCAGUGGGGAAUAUUGCACAAUGGGGGAAACCCUGAUGCAGCGACGCCGCGUGAGCGAAGAAGUAUUUCGGUAUGUAAAGCUCUAUCAGCAGGGAAGAAACUGACGGUACCUGACUAAGAAGCACCGGCUAAAUACGUGCCUGCAGCCGCGGUAAUCUGAGGCGGGCUGGCAAGGC